RNAcentral lists this ribosomal RNA (393 nucleotides) under uncultured bacterium. Its description in RNAcentral is "partial 16S ribosomal RNA". It matches the Rfam family "Bacterial small subunit ribosomal RNA", at positions 523 to 918 of the family's 1533-position model. The record is from RNAcentral.
AUACGGAGGAUCCGAGCGUUAUCCGGAUUUAUUGGGUUUAAAGGGUGCGCAGGCGGGAGAUUAAGUCGGCGGUGAAAUUUUGCAGCUCAACUGUAAAAGUGCCUUUGAAACUGGUUUCCUUGAGUGCAGAUGAAGUAGGCGGAAUUUGUGGUGUAGCGGUGAAAUGCAUAGAUAUCACGAGGAACUCCGAUUGCGCAGGCAGCUUACUAAACUACUACUGACGCUCAGGCACGAAGGCGUGGGGAUCAAACAGGAUUAGAUACCCUGGUAGUCCACGCAGUAAACGAUGAUUACUAGCUGUUUGCGAUACAAUGUAAGCGGCUGAGCGAAAGCGUUAAGUAAUCCACCUGGGGAGUACGUUCGCAAGAAUGAAACUCAAAUGAAUUGACGGGG